UACGAAGGGUGCAAGCGUUAAUCGGAAUUACUGGGCGUAAAGCGUGCGCAGGCGGUUUUGUAAGUCUGACGUGAAAUCCCCGGGCUCAACCUGGGAAUUGCGUUGGAGACUGCAAGGCUAGAAUCUGGCAGAGGGGGGUAGAAUUCCACGUGUAGCAGUGAAAUGCGUAGAGAUGUGGAGGAACACCGAUGGCGAAGGCAGCCCCCUGGGUCAAGAUUGACGCUUAUGCACGAAAGCGUGGGGAGCAAACAGG
RNAcentral lists this ribosomal RNA (253 nucleotides) under uncultured bacterium. Its description in RNAcentral is "partial 16S ribosomal RNA". It matches the Rfam family "Bacterial small subunit ribosomal RNA", at positions 524 to 776 of the family's 1533-position model. The record is from RNAcentral.